Molecule: ribosomal RNA, 484 nt
Filed under: uncultured bacterium
Lineage: Bacteria
Description: bacterial SSU rRNA
Rfam family: Bacterial small subunit ribosomal RNA
Source: RNAcentral
AACGAACGUUGGCGGCGUGCCUAACACAUGCAAGUCGAGCGCGGGCAGGACUUCGGUCCUGUUCCGAGCGGCGCACGGGUGAGUAACACGUGAGUAACCUGCCUCGAAGUUUGGGAUAACCGCCCGAAAGGGUGGCUAAUACCGGAUAAGCCCCCACUGGCACAGGCCAGAGAGGGAAAAGCCUUGGCGCUUCGAGAUGGGCUCGCGUCCCAUUAGCUAGUUGGUGAGGUAACGGCUCACCAAGGCGAAGAUGGGUAGCUGGUCUGAGAGGAUGAUCAGCCACACUGGAACUGAGACACGGCCCAGACUCCUACGGGAGGCAGCAGUGGGGAAUAUUGGACAAUGGGGGAAACCCUGAUCCAGCAAUGCCGCGUGCGUGAAGAAGGCCUUAGGGUUGUAAAGCGACUUUCACCUGUGAUGAUGAUGACAGUAGCAGGAGAAGAAGCCCCGGNUAACUCCGUGCCAGCAGCCGCGGUAAAGUCAC